UGAGCCUUGGCCCCGUCUUGAAGCCUCUGGGGAGUCUCCAGCUCACAAGGGCAGAGGAGAUGGAGACAGGCCGGUCGACGCGAGGGUGGUGCAGGUGGCCCCUCUGAGGUUUGGCUCUAGGAUGCUGUAUACGAGAUCACUAAUGACGCUGUAUACGAGAUCACUAAUGAGGACGCUGUAUACGAGAUCACUAAUGAGGACGCUGUAUACGAGAUCACUAAUGAGGACGCUGUAUACGAGAUCACUAAUGAGGACGCUCUUGCUGUUGACUCCUAGCUUAAAGAGAGUUCCCGGGGUGAGUGACGGAGGUGGGAUCGGACCCUGGCAGUCUGACGGCAACACCUGUGUUCCUCUGCACUGGGCCGUGGAUGACAUUACACACCUUGCCACUCCUAUGGCCCUGUGUGUUCCGGAUUUUUUUAAAUAUUGGCUAUAAGGUUGAGCGCGUCAGGAUAUGCUGUUUUGGG
RNAcentral lists this long non-coding RNA (467 nucleotides) under Pongo abelii (Sumatran orangutan). RNAcentral's name for it is "lincRNA". Lineage: Eukaryota; Metazoa; Chordata; Mammalia; Primates; Hominidae. The record is from RNAcentral.